CACGUAGGGGACGAGCGUUGUCCGGAUUCAUUGGGCGUAAAGCGCGUGUAGGCGGUCCGGUAAGUCCGCUGUGAAAGUCGAGGGCUCAACCCUCGAAUGCCGGUGGAUACUGUCGGGCUAGAGUACGGAAGAGGCGAGUGGAAUUCCUGGUGUAGCGGUGAAAUGCGCAGAUAUCAGGAAGAACACCGAUGGCGAAGGCAGUUCUCUGGGACGGUACUGACGCUGAGACGCGAAAGCGUGGGGAGCGAACAGG
RNAcentral lists this ribosomal RNA (253 nucleotides) under uncultured bacterium. RNAcentral's name for it is "partial 16S ribosomal RNA". It matches the Rfam family "Bacterial small subunit ribosomal RNA", at positions 524 to 776 of the family's 1533-position model. The record is from RNAcentral.